UAGGGCACUCUAAUGAGACUGCCGGUGACAAACCGGAGGAAGGUGGGGAUGACGUCAAGUCCUCAUGGCCCUUAUGGGUAGGGCUUCACACGUCAUACAAUGGUCGGUACAGAGGGUUGCCAAGCCGCGAGGCGGAGCCAAUCCCACAAAGCCGAUCGUAGUCCGGAUUGUUCUCUGCAACUCGAGAGCAUGAAGUCGGAAUCGCUAGUAAUCGCAGGUCAGCAUACUGCGGUGAAUACGUUCCCGGGUCUU
RNAcentral lists this ribosomal RNA (252 nucleotides) under uncultured Thiobacillus sp. RNAcentral describes it as "partial 16S ribosomal RNA". It matches the Rfam family "Bacterial small subunit ribosomal RNA", at positions 1131 to 1382 of the family's 1533-position model. The record is from RNAcentral. Lineage: Bacteria; Pseudomonadati; Pseudomonadota; Betaproteobacteria; Nitrosomonadales; Thiobacillaceae.